Molecule: ribosomal RNA, 137 nt
Filed under: uncultured eukaryote
Lineage: Eukaryota
Description: partial 18S ribosomal RNA
Rfam family: Eukaryotic small subunit ribosomal RNA
Source: RNAcentral
UGGUGGAGUGAUUUGUCUGGUUUAUUCCGUUAACGAACGAGACCUCAGCCUGCUAACUACGUCUAGUAGACCCCGAUCUGCUACGACUUCUUAGAGGGACAUUGUGUGAAAGCACAAGGAAGUUUGAGGCAAUAACA